This 468-nucleotide ribosomal RNA is filed under the name uncultured bacterium. Its description in RNAcentral is "partial 16S ribosomal RNA". It matches the Rfam family "Bacterial small subunit ribosomal RNA", at positions 28 to 507 of the family's 1533-position model. The record is from RNAcentral.
GACGAACGCUGGCGGCGUGCUUAACACAUGCAAGUCGAACGGAAAGGCCCUGCUUUUGUGGGGUGCUCGAGUGGCGAACGGGUGAGUAACCCGUGAGUAACCUGCCCUUGACUUUGGGAUAACUUCAGGAAACUGGGGCUAAUACCGGAUAGGAGCUCGUGCUGCAUGGUGGGGGUUGGAAAGUUUCGGCGGUUGGGGAUGGACUCGCGGCUUAUCAGCUUGUUGGUGGGGUAGUGGCUUACCAAGGCUUUGACGGGUAGCCGGCCUGAGAGGGUGACCGGCCACAUUGGGACUGAGAUACGGCCCAGACGCCUACGGGAGGCAGCAGUGGGGAAUAUGGCACAAUGGGCGGAAGCCUGAUGCAGCAACGCCGCGUGCGGGAUGACGGCCUUCGGGUGGUAAACCGCUUUCGCCUGUGACGAAGCGUGAGUGACGGUAAUGGGUAAAGAAGCACCGGCUAACUACGUG